Molecule: ribosomal RNA, 855 nt
Filed under: Keissleriella phragmiticola
Lineage: Eukaryota; Fungi; Ascomycota; Dothideomycetes; Pleosporales; Lentitheciaceae
Description: eukaryotic LSU rRNA
Rfam family: Eukaryotic large subunit ribosomal RNA
Source: RNAcentral
UUGCCCUAGUAACGGCGAGUGAAGCGGCAACAGCUCAAAUUUGAAAUCUGGCCUCCCUUGGGGGUCCGAGUUGUAAUUUGCAGAGGGUGCUUUGGCGUCGGCAGCGGUCUAAGUUCCUUGGAACAGGACAUCACAGAGGGUGAGAAUCCCGUACGUGGUCGCCUGCCUUCGCCGUGUAAAGCCCCUUCGACGAGUCGAGUUGUUUGGGAAUGCAGCUCUAAAUGGGAGGUAAAUUUCUUCUAAAGCUAAAUACCGGCCAGAGACCGAUAGCGCACAAGUAGAGUGAUCGAAAGAUGAAAAGCACUUUGGAAAGAGAGUCAAACAGCACGUGAAAUUGUUGAAAGGGAAGCGCUUGCAGCCAGACUUGCUCGUAGUUGCUCAUCCGGGUCCGCCCGGAGCACUCUUCUGCGAGCAGGCCAGCAUCAGUUUGGGCGACCGGAUAAAGGCCUCUGUCAUGUACCUUCCCUCGGGAUGGCCUUAUAGGGGAGGCGUAAUGCGGCCAGCCCGGACUGAGGUCCGCGCAUCUGCUAGGAUGCUGGCGUAAUGGCUGUAAGCGGCCCGUCUUGAAACACGGACCAAGGAGUCUAACAUCUAUGCGAGUGUUUGGGUGUCAAGCCCGGGCGCGUAAUGAAAGUGAACGGAGGUGGGAACCCUCUCCGGGGGGUGCACCAUCGACCGAUCCUGAUGUCUUCGGAUGGAUUUGAGUAAGAGCAUAGCUGUUGGGACCCGAAAGAUGGUGAACUAUGCUUGAAUAGGGUGAAGCCAGAGGAAACUCUGGUGGAGGCUCGCAGCGGUUCUGACGUGCAAAUCGAUCGUCAAAUUUGGGCAUAGGGGCGAAAGACUAAUCGAACUAUC